RNAcentral lists this unclassified non-coding RNA (380 nucleotides) under uncultured Gammaproteobacteria bacterium. Its description in RNAcentral is "contains 16S-23S intergenic spacer region". Lineage: Bacteria; Pseudomonadati; Pseudomonadota; Gammaproteobacteria. The record is from RNAcentral.
UCCGGCUUGUCACCGGCAGUUCCCUCAGAGUGCCCGGCCGGACCGCUGGCAACUGAAGGCGAGGGUUGCGCUCGUUGCGGGACUUAACCCAACAUCUCACGACACGAGCUGACGACAGCCAUGCAGCACCUGUGUUACGGCUCUCUUUCGAGCACUCCCACAUCUCUGCGGGAUUCCGUACAUGUCAAAGGUGGGUAAGGUUUUUCGCGUUGCAUCGAAUUAAACCACAUCAUCCACCGCUUGUGCGGGUCCCCGUCAAUUCCUUUGAGUUUUAAUCUUGCGACCGUACUCCCCAGGCGGACGACUUCACGCGUUAGCUGCGUUACUAAGGGAUUUAACUCCCCCAACAACUAGUCGUCAUCGUUUAGGGCGUGGACUAC